Molecule: long non-coding RNA, 2408 nt
Filed under: Anthonomus grandis grandis
Lineage: Eukaryota; Metazoa; Arthropoda; Insecta; Coleoptera; Curculionidae
Description: uncharacterized LOC126738477
Source: RNAcentral
CGUUUAUUGGAGCAGAUCAAGUGUUUGUUGAGAAGUUUAUUUAAAAAUAUAGCAUUAAAUGUGACUGAUAUUAGUGAUGGCUACGGUUAUGAUUCUGACCAAGACAAGGAAUAUACAUUACCUGAAAAAUCAAAAAAGAAAAAAGAAUGCAGAAUUAAAAUUCGUGGUCGUUAUAUUAACAUUCCAACCCAAUCCAGUAGCAGUGAAAGCGAAUGUGAAGAGUCAGACUUAGAAAGCCAUUUAACUAGAAACAAUCCUGGCUGCUCUACUAGCUCGUAUAAGGCUUCUAAUUCUGCAAUGCAAUUUAAAGUAAACAGCAAAACUGAGAUUAAAAAAUCUUCUCAUCCGUCUUCUGUUCAGCUGCAAACAAAUUUUAAUAGAAAUAUUUCCGGUUGUUCCACUACGUUAACGCUAAACACCUCAAAACAAAAAGUGCCCUUAGUAAAAGAUGAUAAUAUUGAAGACCCUGAAACAGAGUAUUAUAAUUCUCAUAACACAGCAACCUCACAUGAUACUACGGAUUCUAAAGAAGAUAAUUUGAUAAAUGAGACAAACAAAAAGUUAACACACAAAAGACAAAAAAAUACAUCCGAAUGGGCAUGCAAUAUAAGAAAAACUAAAUUUGAUCGGGGCCUUGAAUAUAUUUCCUCGCGAAAAAAGGUCGUUCCCGCCAGGGAGAUUAAAAACAAAAAAGAUUGUUUACAAAAAUGCUUAUUUAAAUGCUCUCGAAUAAUAAGCGAUGAAUAACGAAAGGAGAUUUAAAAAUUAUUGUCUGCUUUCAGCUGUUGAAAAAAAGAACUAUAUUUUAAACACUACUAAAGUUGAUAGUCCCUGGCGGAGAAGAAAAGGAAAAAAGCCUGAUAAUUCAAGAAAAAAGAGAACCUUUAGAUAUUAUUUUGAGGUAAAUGGUCAACCAAUUCAAGUUUGCAAAGAGUUUUAUACAGGAACUUUAUGUAUAAGUCAGAAACCAAUUUAUACAGCUCACAAAAAUAAAACGGUGACUAACACAUUGACUAAAAGUAUACAGGGAAAACAUCAGAAAAGGGUAACGUCACCUGAAGCUAUAGAUUUUGUUAAAGAGCACAUAAACUUGGUUCCUCGUGUGGAAUCACAUUAUUGUCGCAAGAACAGUAACAAAGAAUAUGUCGAAAGUGGAUUAAGCAUUAAAAAAUUAUAUGAACUUUAUGUGGAUUUGGCAAAAGAACGCGAAAAAGCUCCAGUUUCAUUUUCUGUUUAUAGGAAAACAUUCUGCAAUAAUUUUAACAUUGCUUUUCAUAAGCCACGCAAAGACAGAUGUGAUACGUGCGAGGAAAUAAAACUAAAAGAAAUAGAAAAUAAGAUGGAUGACAGUUUGGAAAAAAAAUAUGCUGAUCAUUUAAAUGAAAAAGAGUACAUGAGAAACGAAAAACAAAAAGACAAGGAUAGUGAAAUCCCAAUACUGUGCUUUGAUCUAGAAAACGUUUUAACAUGCCCAAAAGCUGACAUAAAAAACUUUUUUAUAAAAGUAAACUAAAUGUUUACAAUAUGACUGGACACCUCUCCAUAAGCAAAAAAGUAUACUGUGCUGUGUGGAGCGAAGCUUUACAUGGAAGAAAGGGAAACGACAUUGCAAGUGCGGUUUACAAAAUACUUGAUAAAGUUAUGCAGGACAAUCCAGAAUUUACAGAAAUUAUUUUGUGGAGCGACAGCUGCGUUCCGCAAAAUAGAAAUAGUCUCAUGAGUUAUGGCCUUAGUCACCUAAUUUAAAAACACAACAACCUAUCAAAAAUCACAAUGAAAUUUUCUGUUCCUGGUCAUGCUUGUAUCCAAGAAGUAGAUGCAAUCCACAGCUCAAUCUAAAGAUCAUUAAAUAAGGUAGAAUACUAUUCUCCUUUAUCUCUUUUACGAUACCUUUUAAAAGUAAACCUCCAUAAUCCAUAUACAAUUAUCCAAAUGAAACAAGAAGAUUUUAUAGACUUUUUCAAGCCAACUCAACUACAAUGCUGUGCCAUUUUCAAAAGUAGUUUCUUUGCAGUUUUCUAGAUCGUUUUUCGAACUCAAGUAUAAAGAUACCUUUAACCCCACAGAAAAAUUUAAAUCUCUAAAUUUACAUCAAGGAAAAUUGAGAAAGGGGCAUGUUACAGCUGAAACGGAACAACUAAUUAUUCCACUGGAAUUAAAAAGAUGCGAUAAAGCUAUUCCCCUUGCAUCAAGUAAAGUGGAGGCAAUAAAGUCUAUGUAUAAAUGGAUUCCCGAAAUGGACAGGCAAUACUAUGAAAGUAUUUUUAGCCGUAAAUAAAAGUUAUAUGCUUUGCUGUGUAUGUUAAAUUAAAUACUAGUUUUGUGUUACAAAAUUCUAUGUUACAUUUGGAAAAAAGAAAAUUUAUUUUUGAUAUAACGGAAUCCUAUGUUUUUUUUCAAUAAAUUAU